RNAcentral lists this ribosomal RNA (310 nucleotides) under Lactobacillus sp. RNAcentral's name for it is "bacterial SSU rRNA". It matches the Rfam family "Bacterial small subunit ribosomal RNA", at positions 1 to 285 of the family's 1533-position model. Lineage: Bacteria; Bacillati; Bacillota; Bacilli; Lactobacillales; Lactobacillaceae. The record is from RNAcentral.
CAAAAUGAGAGUUUGAUCCUGGCUCAGGACGAACGCUGGCGGCGUGCCUAAUACAUGCAAGUCGAGCGAGCAUAACCAGCAGAUUUACUUCGGUAAUGACGCUGGGGACGCGAGCGGCGGAUGGGUGAGUAACACGUGGGGAACCUGCCCCAUAGUCUGGGAUACCACUUGGAAACAGGUGCUAAUACCGGAUAAGAAAGCAGAUCGCAUGAUCAGCUUAUAAAAGGCGGCGUAAGCUGUCGCUAUGGGAUGGCCCCGCGGUGCAUUAGCUAGUUGGUAAGGUAACGGCUUACCAAGGCGAUGAUGCAUA